This 967-nucleotide long non-coding RNA is filed under the name Eucalyptus grandis. RNAcentral describes it as "long non-coding RNA (EGRA_LNC002255)". Lineage: Eukaryota; Viridiplantae; Streptophyta; Magnoliopsida; Myrtales; Myrtaceae. The record is from RNAcentral.
AUCUAUAAAAGUUGCUGCUGACCAAUAAAUUGUCAUGAAAACUUAUUAGUCAUGGAAAAAAAUUGUACUCAAUUGUUACUUCUCAUUUAUUGGAGAAUGUAUUGUUAUGGAAUUCAUUAGUUACACCAAAAAAAAAAAAAUCAUUAAUAACUAUAGACAGAUGCCUAAAUGCUUACUUUCUUAAUGUGAAUAUAUUUAAUUAUAUAUAUAGAUUCCGUAGGUUCGCACGUUGUUUCUCUUCUUGCAGACUGAAACGGACGGCGAUGAGUCGAUGACUCAAUUCGGUAAGCGUCCAGAAGGCAGAGUCCCCUCUGACAUGUCCUUUUCGUUCCUCCCCCACCGUCCCCUCCGUCGCCGCCUCGUGCGAGUGGACCGUGAGAGUUGGGGCUGUAGCCAUGUGAUCUCAGUGGAGACGUCUGUAGCCAUGUGAUCUCAGUGGAGACGACUGGACCCACCCACUCAAUGGUCAUCACUGAAGAUGCCAUGUCCGUUCGUCCUCUUCAUCCUCCGCCUCUCGCGCACGGCUUGACGGGUGCAGUGGCGGCUGGAAGUUGGCGUGGGAUUGGCUUUCGUGACUUUAGUCGUCCGCAGCGUCCGAGACGAGGAACCGGUGGAGAAAGAUUAGGGUUUCGGUGCUUGCCGUUUUAGCUUUAGGGGGAAGUUAGAGGUUUUUCUUGUGGUUCACGAAGAAGAAAGAUAAUUUUGGGCUAAUGCGGUUCAGGCAUUAGAUGGCAGAAGUAAUUUCUUUUGCCUUUAAAUAGGGAUGCUUAAUAGAAAUAACUAGCCCAGGACAUAGUUCAGGGAAAUUAUGAUUGACUGAGGAUGUUAACUUUGAUACAAAGUAAUAAAUGUGGUUGCUCCAGAUUUUAAUGCAUUAAUUUGUGAUGCUGCACGUAGUGGUGCAUCAUGAAAGUUUCAAAUGUUUUGAACUAUAAGAAGAUCAAAAAAAGUUGAGGAUGAAUUAUGG